This 458-nucleotide ribosomal RNA is filed under the name uncultured bacterium. RNAcentral's name for it is "partial 16S ribosomal RNA". It matches the Rfam family "Bacterial small subunit ribosomal RNA", at positions 28 to 507 of the family's 1533-position model. The record is from RNAcentral.
GACGAACGCUGGCGGCGUGCUUCAUACAUGCAAGUCGAACGAGAAGCUGACUUUGGUCUGUGGAAAGUGGCGGACGGGUGUGUAAUACGGAGGAAUUCUGCCUUUAGGAGCGGGACACCAGAGGGAAACUUCUGCUAGUACCCCAUAUUAAUUUAGCUGAGAUGCUCUUCUUGAAACCUCCGGUGCCUAAAGAUGAGCUUGCAUCUGAUUAGCUAGUUGGUAGUGUACUGGACUAUCAAGGCGACGAGCAGUAGCUGGUUUGAGAGGAUGAACAGCCACAAUAGGACUGAGAGACGGGCCAGAGUCGGAAAGGAUGCAGCAGGAGGGAAUUUCGCGCGAAGGGCGAAAGCCUGACGCAUCAACGCCGCGGGAACGAUUACGCCCUUCGGGCGGUAGAGUGCUGUCUGUUGGGACGAGACGUGACGGUACCGGCAGAAGAAGCACCGGCUAACUACGUG